AGAGUUUGAUCAUGGCUCAGAACGAACGCUGGCGGCAGGCUUAACACAUGCAAGUCGAGCGCACUCUUCGGAGUGAGCGGCGGACGGGUUAGUAACGCGUGGGAACGUGCCCUUCUCUAAGGAAUAGCCACUGGAAACGGUGAGUAAUACCUUAUACGCCCUUCGGGGGAAAGAUUUAUCGGAGAAGGAUCGGCCCGCGUUAGAUUAGAUAGUUGGUGGGGUAAUGGCCUACCAAGUCUACGAUCUAUAGCUGGUUUUAGAGGAUGAUCAGCAACACUGGGACUGAGACACGGCCCAGACUCCUACGGGAGGCAGCAGUGGGGAAUCUUGGACAAUGGGCGCAAGCCUGAUCCAGCCAUGCCGCGUGAGUGAUGAAGGCCUUAGGGUCGUAAAGCUCUUUCGCCAGAGAUGAUAAUGACAGUAUCUGGUAAAGAAACCCCGGCUAACUCCGUGCCAGCAGCCGCGGUAAUACGGAGGGGGUUAGCGUUGUUCGGAAUUACUGGGCGUAAAGCGCACGUAGGCGGAUCAGAAAGUAUAGGGUGAAAUCCCAGGGCUCAACCCUGGAACUGCCUUGUAAACUCCUGGUCUUGAGUUCGAGAGAGGUGAGUGGAAUUCCGAGUGUAGAGGUGAAAUUCGUAGAUAUUCGGAGGAACACCAGUGGCGAAGGCGGCUCACUGGCUCGAUACUGACGCUGAGGUGCGAAAGUGUGGGGAGCAAACAGGAUUAGAUACCCUGGUAGUCCACACCGUAAACGAUGAAUGCCAGACGUCAGCAAGCAUGCUUGUUGGUGUCACACCUAACGGAUUAAGCAUUCCGCCUGGGGAGUACGGUCGCAAGAUUAAAACUCAAAGGAAUUGACGGG
Molecule: ribosomal RNA, 862 nt
Filed under: uncultured bacterium
Lineage: Bacteria
Description: bacterial SSU rRNA
Rfam family: Bacterial small subunit ribosomal RNA
Source: RNAcentral